CAGCGUCACGAGUGGCAACCAUAUUUAUUGGGCCUAAAGCGUCCGUAGCCUGUUUGAUAAGUCUUUUGUGAAAUCGUUGAGCUCAACUUAACGUCGUGCAAGAGAUACUGUCAGACUUGGAAUUGGGAAGAGUUAGAGGUAUUCUGGGGGGAGCGGUAAAAUGCUAUAAUCCCUGGAGGACCACCAGUGGCGAAAGCGUCUAACUAGAACAACUUCGACGGUGAGGGACGAAAGCCAGGGGAGCAAAACGGAUUAGAGACCCGAGUAGUCC
RNAcentral lists this ribosomal RNA (271 nucleotides) under uncultured archaeon. Its description in RNAcentral is "partial 16S ribosomal RNA". It matches the Rfam family "Archaeal small subunit ribosomal RNA", at positions 477 to 747 of the family's 1478-position model. The record is from RNAcentral.